Bradysia coprophila is the source of this 683-nucleotide long non-coding RNA. NCBI's taxonomy places the organism in Eukaryota, Metazoa, Arthropoda, Insecta, Diptera, Sciaridae. The record is from RefSeq and is a predicted model, not a curated record.
GAAUGCAAUCAAAUUAGCAUAUCAGAGAAAGUGGCCAAUUUGCGUUUCAAUUCAGACAAGGACAAAGCAAGAUAUUUUGCGUCAGCGACGGUUGAGUCGAAUUUCUGGUUGGCUGCACUACCAUCAAAACAUUUAGGCACUCUGUUGGACAACAAUACAUUUCGAAUAUCGAUAGCUUUACGUUUCAGUUUGGAUAUAUGCUCGCGUCACAAAUGUGUUUGUGGAAAAAUGGUUUUCAAGGAUGGAUUACAUGGACUCAGUUGCUCUAAAAGUGCAGGACGAAUACCAUGUCAUUCGGAGUUAAACAACAUCAUUCACUUGUCAUUAAAAUCAUCAAAUAUUCCUGCAAUGCGAGAGCCUCCAGGCAUGUUCAGAGAUGAUGGGAAAAGAGUUGAUGGUGUAACACUUAUACCAUGGAGCAAAGGACAAAAUUUGGUAUGGGAUGCUACAUGCUCUGAUACCAUGGCGCCGUCUUACAUUCAUCUUUCAUGUAAUGGACCCGGUAAAGUAGCGACAAAAGCUGCCGGCGUUAAAUUGAACAAGUACAAAAAAUUACUGGAGCAAAAUUACAUAAUCCUACCGUUUGCAGUCGAGACGUUAGGCCCAUGGUGUGCCGAAGCAAUACAAUUCAUCGAUACAUUAGGAAAUUUGAUCCAGGAACGAACUGGUGAAAACAGAUCAAA